This is a long non-coding RNA of Myotis myotis, 2557 nucleotides long. RefSeq lists it as uncharacterized. NCBI's taxonomy places the organism in Eukaryota, Metazoa, Chordata, Mammalia, Chiroptera, Vespertilionidae. The transcript has 3 exons. The record is from RefSeq and is a predicted model, not a curated record.
CAAAGUAUACAGCAGAGUUAUAGACACGGGCUCCAGUCCUCAGCAGGCCAUACUGGUCAUGGCCACAAAAGCAGAGCUUCCUUUGUGGAUGAUGAUAAAGCAAGAUUCUAGGAAGGAAACCAUUACUCUAGAUCCAGUAGAUGAAGCCACGGCAAAUCUCCUAUUUCAGGACAGCCAGCUGUUUCAACUUUUCUGUCAGGGAAUCGUGGCCUCGGCAACCGUAUCUGAUGCACAGAUAGUCUCCAGGCGGCCCGCAACACGGCCAUCUGUGCUGCUGGCAGGGAAGCCAUCCACAGUUCUACUUAAUGAGCACGAACUACUUUGAUAGCAAAAACAGAAAAGCAAAACAACCAAAGCCGAGGUUGGUGAACCAAGGCCAAGCAUGCAGCUCAUCUCUCAGUUCAUCUUCCAGGAAGCCUGCGCGAGCUGCUGCCGCACCGUCUUGGGCUCAGACAUGUGGUCAUCUGUUUUGAAGCCUUCACGCAGUCAGCUCUGGGAAAGAGAUGCGGAUGCCCCACAGCCCUCUUACUUUAGUUAACCCAGAUGCACCCGGGCCCUUUGCAGCUCUGCUGUCACUCCAAGGUCCUCUUCCGGCCAGACUCAGCACUUGGUCCCAUCUCUCAGACUCUCUCCUCCAAAACAAAUGAACAGAUCCAAAUCUAUAAGCCGUCUCAAAUAAUGUCGACUUUUCUUUGAGAAAGUUAGGCAAGUUCUGCCCCGCCUGUGUGGCUCGGUGGUUUGAGCGUCGACCUGUGAACCACGAGAUUACAACUUGAUUCCCGUUCAAGGCACAUGCACAGGUUGUGGGUUCAAUCCCUAGUGGGGGCAUGCAGUGAUUCUCAUCAUUGAUGUUUCUAUCUCUUUCCCUCUCCCUUCCUCUCUGAAAUCAAUUAUAUAUAUAUAAAGUUAGGCAAGUUCCUCAUAAGACAUAGUGAAACUUCUCCCAGCAUACCUGUAUAUGCUUUGCUUUUUUCAAAAUCCCUCUCCUAGCAGCUGCUUCAUCCCCUUUUUGCCCAAAUUGCCUCCUGGGAACGCUUGUGCCUGACACUGUUCCCUUCUUCCUCAGCUGGCUCACGCCACCCAGUGAAAAGAAGCUGUUUGUCAACCAAAUGUGAGCCACCCCAUCUUUUUGAGGCAUGAGCCAAGGCCUAUAGUUCAGUUGAAUUAAGUUUAAUGGCUCCUGGAAGCUAGAUAAAACUUACAUUCCGUUUAAUACCCAAAGCAAUACCGAUGGGAAAACUAGUACAGGGUUUGUGCAGAACAUGGCCAUAAGGAUGAAUUCUUUACUCGGUGCCCGGGAACCACUCUCAGCCAAAGUAGGGCAGUUUGGAGAGUGGCAUGAAUGCGAGGUUGUUCAGCCUGUGGGCUCACCUGGACCUCUGAGCUAGGAAGCUUGAAGCCUUCUCCCCCAGGAGGUGGCAGGCUUGGGUGUGGAGUGUCACUGGCCCCAAGACAAGAGCACAACUGGAGACCCACGCACUGUGUGUCUCUAUAUUAUGAAGUUCUACAUCAGGCUAACAAGUAAUUAAAUAAAAUAUGUUCUGACCUCCUACCUUGACAAAAAUACCUUCAGGACAACCUGCAAGUCCAGGUUUAAAUGGGGGAUUCUUGGAUUCCUUGGAGUUUCUUGCCCCUUUCAGCAGGGAUCCCCUGCAUAUCCAUAUGGAACCCUCAGCUCACACAUCCAAGUCCUUCCCUGCCCCCCAACACCUACUCUUGGUUGACUUGUUAAGCCUGGGGUGCAACAUACUAACACCGGAGUCACCUGAGUCACCCUUGGAAGGCAUGGCCUGGACAAGGCCUGCUCUGUCCGGGGAGCAAGUGUGGGGAUGUCUGGGCAGAGAAUUCUGGGGUCCCAUGCAUUGUCCAAAAAAAGGGAUGCCAGCUUGUUUGCUUCUAACUCAUAAUCUCUGCAGGUCCUCCCCCAGAUGCUUUAGUCAAGAUCACUGUGUAUUAACUGCCAGCACGGCGGGGAGGCAGGGGGAAGGGCGGAGUUCAUGACUUCUAAAGGUUGUCAUGCCACCUCAGUCUCCCCGCUGAACAGGGUGAUGGGGGCGCUCAGUGGUCCACGGUCCACCUCUCACCCCUCGGUGCCCUGAGGCCAGAUUUGGACAUGAAGCACAGGGUCCCUCUGCUCCUCGCAGCUUCCUGCACUAUCGGGGUGAGGACCAAAGGGGAGAUCUUUAAAGGCAGAGCAUGUGAGCAGAAAACUUUAGUUUCUCUGAUUAGAUAACCUUUCCUGGUACCUAGGCUGGGGGCAGAGCGGGAGCAUGAGGAGGGUCAUUGAAGAUGGCUGAGGACUGGAAAAGGGCCACCGUGCAUUCCACCUCCGCACCUGUAGCUCAGGUGCAGUCAGUUAGGUUGGGAGGCUGGGAGACGACCUGUAUCACCCCAAAACCUUCUGACCCUCGUCAGAUGGCGUGAGCCCAACCCAAAAGCAGGCAGGGCAGUUCUGCAGCCAUAGUUCAGAACCGCAAGGAAUGUGGGUGGGGCCCAGAAGCUGGGCAGAUGCCCUGGGGUCCAUGUGCUCCUGCAUCUCUUCUCUCCCCUGACUCAG